RNAcentral lists this ribosomal RNA (429 nucleotides) under Gemmatimonadota bacterium. RNAcentral describes it as "Gemmatimonadetes bacterium partial 16S ribosomal RNA". It matches the Rfam family "Bacterial small subunit ribosomal RNA", at positions 355 to 776 of the family's 1533-position model. Lineage: Bacteria; Pseudomonadati; Gemmatimonadota. The record is from RNAcentral.
UAGGGAAUCUUCGGCAAUGGACGAAAGUCUGACCGAGCAACGCCGCGUGAGUGAAGAAGGUUUUCGGAUCGUAAAACUCUGUUGUUAGAGAAGAACAAGGACGUUAGUAACUGAACGUCCCCUGACGGUAUCUAACCAGAAAGCCACGGCUAACUACGUGCCAGCAGCCGCGGUAAUACGUAGGUGGCAAGCGUUGUCCGGAUUUAUUGGGCGUAAAGCGAGCGCAGGCGGUUUCUUAAGUCUGAUGUGAAAGCCCCCGGCUCAACCGGGGAGGGUCAUUGGAAACUGGGAGACUUGAGUGCAGAAGAGGGAAGUGGAAUUCCAUGUGUAGCGGUGAAAUGCGUAGAUAUAUGGAGGAACACCAGUGGCGAAGGCGGCUCUCUGGUCUGUAACUGACGCUGAGGCUCGAAAGCGUGGGGAGCAAACAGG